AUGAGGAUGUGGACAACUUUGUGUGUGGCCAUGUACUUCUUUGGAGCAAGAGCUAAAAUCACCCAAACUCCAGAUCUUGUGUUGAAGGAAGAUAAGCAAGCUACUCUGACAUGCAGUCAAAAUGACAAUCAUAAUUAUAUGUUCUGGUAUCUGCAGCAGCCAGGGAAGGGGCUGCAACUGAUCUAUUAUUCCUUUGGUGCAAACGACGAACAAGAGGGUGACAUUCACAUUGGAUACAAAGCUAAACGAUUAAACACUUCAGACUUCCGUUUGGAUAUUGCAUCUGUGAAGAUGAACCAUUCUGCUGUCUAUUUCUGUGCCAGCAGUCAGAACACAAUAUUUGAAA
Non-coding RNA from Chaetura pelagica (chimney swift), 346 nucleotides. The record is from the annotation of a RefSeq genome assembly. Lineage: Eukaryota; Metazoa; Chordata; Aves; Apodiformes; Apodidae.